RNAcentral lists this small nucleolar RNA (86 nucleotides) under Otolemur garnettii (small-eared galago). RNAcentral's name for it is "Small nucleolar RNA SNORA22 (ENSOGAG00000027353.1)". Lineage: Eukaryota; Metazoa; Chordata; Mammalia; Primates; Galagidae. The record is from RNAcentral.
UAGCUGGCUAGAGCAAUGCCUGUUUUUUCCUCUGCACUACAAGGUGUAUUUACCCUUUUAAAUGUAUUCAGAAAGCCAGCACAUUA